RNAcentral lists this ribosomal RNA (475 nucleotides) under uncultured bacterium. RNAcentral's name for it is "bacterial SSU rRNA". It matches the Rfam family "Bacterial small subunit ribosomal RNA", at positions 26 to 518 of the family's 1533-position model. The record is from RNAcentral.
AGGACGAACGCUGGCGGCGUGCUUAACACAUGCAAGUCGAGCGAUGAAGCUCCUUCGGGAGUGGAUAGCGGCGGACGGGUGAGUAACACGUGGGCAACCUGCCUUGUAGAGAGGAAUAGCCAUUCGAAAGGAUGAUUAAUACCUCAUAAUAUUGUAGCUUCGCAUGAAGCAACAACCAAAGGAGCAAUCCACUACAAGAUGGGCCCGCGGCGCAUUAGCUAGUUGGUGGGGUAACGGCUCACCAAGGCGACGAUGCGUAGCCGACCUGAGAGGGUGAUCGGCCACAUUGGGACUGAGACACGGCCCAGACUCCUACGGGAGGCAGCAGUGGGGAAUAUUGCACAAUGGGGGAAACCCUGAUGCCAGCAACGCCGCGUGAGUGAUGACGGUCUUCGGAUUGUAAAGCUCUGUCUUCAGGGACGAUAAUGACGGUACCUGAGGAGGAAGCCACGGCUAACUACGUGCCAGCCGCCGC